Molecule: ribosomal RNA, 447 nt
Filed under: uncultured bacterium
Lineage: Bacteria
Description: bacterial SSU rRNA
Rfam family: Bacterial small subunit ribosomal RNA
Source: RNAcentral
GCCAGACUCCUACGGGAGGCAGCAGUGGGGAAUAUUGCACAAUGGGGGAAACCCUGAUGCAGCGACGCCGCGUGAGUGAAGAAGUAUUUCGGUAUGUAAAGCUCUAUCAGCAGGAACGAGACAAGACGGUACCUGACUAAGAAGCCCCGGCUAACUACGUGCCAGCAGCCGCGGUAAUACGUAGGGGGCAAGCGUUAUCCGGAAUCACUGGGUGUAAAGGGAGCGUAGACGGCUGUGCAAGCCUGAAGUGAAAGGCGGGGGCCCAACCCCCGGACUGCUUUGGGAACUGUGCGGCUGGAGUGCAGGAGAGGUAAGUGGAAUUCCUAGUGUAGCGGUGAAAUGCGUGGAUAUUAGGAGGAACACCAGUGGCGAAGGCGGCUUACUGGACUGUAACUGACGUUGAGGCUCGAAAGCGUGGGGAGCAAACAGGAUUAGAUACCCGUGUAU